This 253-nucleotide ribosomal RNA is filed under the name uncultured prokaryote. RNAcentral describes it as "partial 16S ribosomal RNA". It matches the Rfam family "Bacterial small subunit ribosomal RNA", at positions 525 to 777 of the family's 1533-position model. The record is from RNAcentral.
ACGUAGGCAGCGAGCGUUGUUCGGAGUUACUGGGCGUAAAGAGUGUGUAGGCGGUGUCGUAAGUUCGGUGUGAAAUCUCCCGGCUUAACUGGGAGGGUGCGCCGGAUACUGCGAGACUCGAGUACGGGAGAGGGAAGCGGAAUUCCUGGUGUAGCGGUGAAAUGCGUAGAUAUCAGGAGGAACACCUGCGGUGUAGACGGCUUCCUGGACCGUUACUGACGCUGAGACACGAAAGCGUGGGGAGCAAACAGGA